Alosa sapidissima (American shad) is the source of this 227-nucleotide long non-coding RNA. RefSeq lists it as uncharacterized. The transcript has 5 exons. Lineage: Eukaryota; Metazoa; Chordata; Actinopteri; Clupeiformes; Clupeidae. The record is from RefSeq and is a predicted model, not a curated record.
AUCGGCGUUUAUGUCGGUCAGUGGGUCUGCAUUUUGGUAAAACUGAGAUACGUGCUGAAGAGAGGAGAGAAAUGGAGGAAUCUUUCCAGUCUCUGGUUUCCCCUGCAUUUGAGAUUGAGUUAAUGGAGGAACUUAAACAACAAGAUGACAACAAGCAGGCAAAGGAGAUGCAGAUUAAAGAUGGCAAAAGGAACCUCAAGGAGAAGGUAAAACUUUUGGAAGAGAGC